RNAcentral lists this ribosomal RNA (610 nucleotides) under uncultured bacterium. RNAcentral describes it as "bacterial SSU rRNA". The stretch from base 1 to 525 matches the Rfam family "Bacterial small subunit ribosomal RNA", at positions 338 to 873 of the family's 1533-position model. The record is from RNAcentral.
CCUACGGGAGGCAGCAGUGGGGAAUAUUGCACAAUGGGCGCAAGCCUGAUGCAGCGACGCCGCGUGAGGGAUGACGGCCUUCGGGUUGUAAACCUCUUUCAGUAGGGAAGAAGCGAAAGUGACGGUACCUGCAGAAGAAGCGCCGGCUAACUACGUGCCAGCAGCCGCGGUAAUACGUAGGGCGCAAGCGUUAUCCGGAAUUAUUGGGCGUAAAGAGCUCGUAGGCGGUUUGUCGCGUCUGCCGUGAAAGUCCGGGGCUCAACUCCGGAUCUGCGGUGGGUACGGGCAGACUAGAGUGAUGUAGGGGAGACUGGAAUUCCUGGUGUAGCGGUGAAAUGCGCAGAUAUCAGGAGGAACACCGAUGGCGAAGGCAGGUCUCUGGGCAUUAACUGACGCUGAGGAGCGAAAGCAUGGGGAGCGAACAGGAUUAGAUACCCUGGUAGUCCAUGCCGUAAACGUUGGGCACUAGGUGUGGGGGACAUUCCACGUUUUCCGCGCCGUAGCUAACGCAUUAAGUGCCCCGCCUGGGGAGGUACGGCCGCGAGACGUAAACUACAAUAGAAGUAGACGGCGNGAGACGUGCCGACGGACGACGACGAGGGAGGUUAGG